Molecule: ribosomal RNA, 195 nt
Filed under: uncultured bacterium
Lineage: Bacteria
Description: partial 16S ribosomal RNA
Rfam family: Bacterial small subunit ribosomal RNA
Source: RNAcentral
ACGCUCGACACCUAAGGCAGCAGUGGGGAAUAUUGCACAAUGGGGGAAACCCUGAUGCAGCGACGCCGCGUGAGCGAAGAAGUAUUUCGGUAUGUAAAGCUCUAUCAGCAGGGAAGAUAAUGACGGUACCUGACUAAGAAGCUCCGGCUAAAUACGUGCCAGCAGCCGACGGUAAUCUGAGCGGGCUGGCAAGGC